GAAUUGCAGAAUUCAGUGAAUCAUCGAAUCUUUGAACGCACCUUGCGCCCUUUGGCCAUUCCGAAGGGCAUGCCUGUUUGAGUAUC
This 86-nucleotide ribosomal RNA is filed under the name uncultured fungus. Its description in RNAcentral is "partial 5.8S ribosomal RNA". It matches the Rfam family "5.8S ribosomal RNA", at positions 69 to 153 of the family's 154-position model. From Rfam's summary of the family: 5.8S ribosomal RNA (5.8S rRNA) is a component of the large subunit of the eukaryotic ribosome. Lineage: Eukaryota; Fungi. The record is from RNAcentral.